CAGACCCUUCCGAGAGCAGAGAGCCUUUCUUGCUGGCCAUCCGUCAGCAGGCAGCCUGAGCAUCUGAUGAUAACGGAGUCGCCAAGCAACGGCAGCCAUUUGAGGAAAGGAUGGUUAAGGCAGAUAAAAGGAGCGCUGUUCUGGAGAGAGAGGUAUAAAUCGCCUUUUUUACGCUCACUGUCAGAACAGAUCAGCGUGACCAUUCUGUCCUCUUGUUCAGAUCCGCCACUUUUCAUCCCUCCUCGAGCAGCCACGAAGCCCCCACUGUGAUCGGCUGACCCGGCACCGACAGCCGACCCGAGGAAGUGCCCUGGAGAGACACACAAGCGAGAGGUGAGGCAGCCUAUGUCGUCUCUUUGAAAUGUGAAAGACCCUCCAAACCCAUAGAUGAAGCUGGCCCAGGCUUGGGGCACACGGAGGAGAAGCAUCACAGCAGAUGUAAGACGGAUGGAGAACCAGGUCGAGGGAUGCGAGUGGAGCUUUCGGCAGAUUUGGCGUGGGGUUCCCAGGUCUGCAUCCAGUACCUUCAGCUUCCUGAAGGCCGUGCGUUCCUUGGCAAUUUGAAGGCCUAUGCAAGACUGGACAUGCUGUGGAAGAAGGAACCCCCAGGGCUGGUGGCCAAGGUUCUCCGUGAGAUCCAGAGAAUGCUGGCCUAUUUCCUGAUUGCAUACACCCUGCUUUUGGGUGUAUUCAUUUGUGUUGAGCUGAUAAUUCAGCUUCUAGAUGCAGAAUAAGGAUGGAGUGAGGCCAUGCCACUUCUCAUUAUAUGGGGCCAGGAUGCCACCGCCUUCCCCUGCCCGGUUCCCUCUGGAUGUGUUGGACUGCACUGUAGCGAAUGGGAGAAGUGACCAACUGAUUUUUUUUUAAAAUGUAGACCUUGCCUUUCCAUUUAUAAAACAGGGACAUCUUUGGUUUGCUUGAAACCUCUAUGAAAAGGGUGACGCUUGCGAGAAGAAAGAGGAGGCGGCCCGCUUCCUCCCGUGGAUAGGAAAGCGUGGCUCUUACGUCAAGGACCAGGCAUUCCGUCCAUCAAUGGGUUGACUCCCCCACACCAUGAACGGUUGGAGAUUUUUUUUACUGGGUGGGGGGAGUCUUGUGCAGACAAAGGACCAUUAGUAACCCGGGAACCGAAUGCUGGCGGGGAAGUGUCUGACCCCUCCAGAGAGGCCGGCGAGGAGACGCUUGAGGCUGGCCACCGGCUGGGAAGAAGGUCCUUCAGGGGCUUCGAAGGACUGGCAGAGUCCUUCUGGGGGAACUGCGGGGCAGUCCGGUGUUUGGGAGCUGCUUUCCCCAUGAUGUCCUUUAAAAAUAAUAUAAUUAUUGUGACAAGA
Molecule: long non-coding RNA, 1331 nt
Organism: Varanus komodoensis (Komodo dragon)
Lineage: Eukaryota; Metazoa; Chordata; Lepidosauria; Squamata; Varanidae
Exons: 2
Source: RefSeq, a predicted model, not a curated record